CCUACGGGCGGCAGCAGUGGGGAAUAUUGCGCAAUGGGCGAAAGCCUGACGCAGCGACGCCGCGUGAGGGAUGAAGGUCUUCGGAUCGUAAACCUCUGUCAGCAGGGAAGAACGGUCACUGUGCUAAUCAGCAGUGAAUUGACGGUACCUGCAAAGGAAGCACCGGCUAACUCCGUGCCAGCAGCCGCGGUAAUACGGAGGGUGCGAGCGUUAAUCGGAAUUACUGGCAGUAAAGCAUUCGUAGGCGGUAUGUCAAGUCAAGGGUGAAAUCCCCGCGCUCAACGUGGGAACUGCCUUUGAAACUGGCAAGCUGGAGUGUGUGAGGGGAUAGUGGAAUUCCAGGUGUAGGAGUGAAAUCCGUAGAUAUCUGGAGGAACAUCAGUGGCGAAGGCGACUAUCUGGCACAUAACUGACGCUGAGGAGCGAAAGCGUGGGUAGCAAACAGGAUUAGAUACCCGAGUAGUC
RNAcentral lists this ribosomal RNA (465 nucleotides) under uncultured bacterium. Its description in RNAcentral is "partial 16S ribosomal RNA". It matches the Rfam family "Bacterial small subunit ribosomal RNA", at positions 338 to 795 of the family's 1533-position model. The record is from RNAcentral.